UACGUAGGGUGCGAGCGUUGUCCGGAAUUAUUGGGCGUAAAGAGCUCGUAGGCGGUUUGUCGCGUCGGCCGUGAAAACUUGGGGCUUAACCCCAAGCCUGCGGUCGAUACGGGCAGACUUGAGUUCGGCAGGGGAGACUGGAAUUCCUGGUGUAGCGGUGAAAUGCGUAGAUAUCGAGAGGAACACCUGCGGCGAAGGCGGGUAGCUGGGCCGACACUGACGCUGAGGCGCGAAAGCUAGGGGAGCGAACGGG
RNAcentral lists this ribosomal RNA (253 nucleotides) under uncultured bacterium. Its description in RNAcentral is "partial 16S ribosomal RNA". It matches the Rfam family "Bacterial small subunit ribosomal RNA", at positions 524 to 776 of the family's 1533-position model. The record is from RNAcentral.